UUAUAUUCUCUUCCUGCGUUUCUGUACUCAUUGUUCUCUAUAAUCCCUCACACGACGGCUUCGGGUCUCUGUAACGGGAAGCCUAGAAGAUGAGACGUUGUCUUUACUUCAGUCCUUCAGUCUCUCCCACUACGAUGAAUUCAAUUUCAUCCUUCCCAAAAGAUCUGAUGAAAACCCUAAAAAGAACAUUCUAUGAAACUCGAGAAACCCGAGACGUCAAUGAAACUCGAGAUCUAAACAAGGGAGGGGAACUGAUUGAAGUGGACAUGCUCCUUGAUGAAAAGGCAACGCUUAUCCAAGGGUCUAUCAGUGAACAUCGGCUUAACACUUUCCGACAUCUUCUGAGAGAAGGUACAACUUACGAGAUCAGCGGAUUUGAUGUUAGAGGUAGCAUAACCAAAUUCAAGUUCUCAGAAAGGUGGAGAAUUAAUGGGCUUCAAUAUGCUGCUCUUGGAUGAUCAGUCCUCUCUCAUCAAAAUAUCUGUAUCUGUCCAUCGCCUAAACACUUUCCGAGAACUUCUAAAGGAGGGUGCUUUGUACGAGCUAAGUGGCUUUGAUGUCACCAGAAGCAACAACCAUUUCAAGCUCUGUAAUUCCAAUGUUGCCAUCCGUCUAAACCAGUCUACGAAGUUGGUCGAAGUCCCAGCUGUCGCUAAUCCAAGAUAACCCUUCUCUUUCAGACAUUCUUGGCGAGGUUUGCGACAUCAGGACAACAUACAAUGACCACAGUCAGACUACUCAACGACUUAUGGUUAACGACCGAGUAGAUAAGUUAAUUCUCUACCCACCUAUUACUCGAAUAAUUAACUUUAUAACCAGAAUAGAUAAUAACUGAAAAAAAAACACGUACAUCCUUCUCAGGGAUGCAACUGUUUGCGUCAGCGUUUUUGACAGUCUUGCUGAACUCCUCCACAAGAGAUUGGAAGCUGGU
Long non-coding RNA from Brassica oleracea var. oleracea, 931 nucleotides. RefSeq lists it as uncharacterized. The transcript is spliced from 3 exons. The record is from RefSeq and is a predicted model, not a curated record. NCBI's taxonomy places the organism in Eukaryota, Viridiplantae, Streptophyta, Magnoliopsida, Brassicales, Brassicaceae.